AUUGAACGCUGGCGGCAGGCCUAACACAUGCAAGUCGAGCGGCUGCACAGUACUUGCUUGUGCUUUCAGCUGCCGACUGGUGGGUGGUUCCUAGAAAUCUGCCUAUUUGCUUUUUCUAACGUCCGAACACGGGCGCUAAUACCCCAUACCUCCUUACGGCGUACGUGUGGAAUCUUCGGAUCUUCCGCUCUCGCAUGAUCCUAUGUCGGAUUAGCUAGUUGGUGGGGUAAAGGCCUACCAAGGCGACGAUCCGUAGCUGGUCUGAGAGGAUGAUCAGCCACACUGGAACUGAGACACGGUCCAGACUCCUACGGGAGGCAGCAGUGGGGAAUAUUGGACAAUGGGCGAAAGCCUGAUCCAGCCAUGCCGCGUGGGUGAAGAAGGCCUUCGGAUUGUAAAGCACUUUUGUUGGGGAAGAAAAGCAGCAAGUUAAUACCUUGCUGUUUUGACGGUACCAAAAGAAUAAGCACCGGCUAACUUCGUG
This 484-nucleotide ribosomal RNA is filed under the name uncultured bacterium. RNAcentral describes it as "partial 16S ribosomal RNA". It matches the Rfam family "Bacterial small subunit ribosomal RNA", at positions 30 to 507 of the family's 1533-position model. The record is from RNAcentral.